CGAAGCUUCUUGCUAGUUGAGCCGUUCGCCAGACUGAUACAACGGCGAUCGGUCGAUACCCGUCUCGAAUACUCGACACCAAUAAAGCAAAUGAAAGUUAAUACAGUCACAUGCUACAUAGCGUUUAUUUGUGUGUAGCCAUAUGAAGAGGAAACCGCCAAUCCCAUAAAUGUAUACCGGGUUCUCCGUUUUGGCCCGAGGGACCAGAAACGCGGACCAACUAUAAUAGCUGGGAAAAAUCGCCAGCGAAAUUCGACCCAUGCUCGAGGUCAUACAGGUCAGAACCGCCGCCACGUGUUCCUGUUUGAAACUGCGACUCCGCUUUGGACUACAAGCGACGAAAAAAAUACUGAACAAGCUGAGGGAAGAGGAACUGAAUGUAAGGAUUGUGACGACCUCUUCUUUCGACUGACGCAAAACCGGUUCAGAUACUGUUUGUUGCCGUAACCUGUUUUGCCCGACAGCUAAAAGAGGCGACAUAACUGAAGAGACGCUUGCGUGAACCUGUAUAUUGUCAUUGUCGUUUCAUGACAGCUUCGUUCUAGAAGCAAUUGAUCGGUUGCAGUGAGUUAAUAGCCGGUAUGGGAUCGAAGUAGGUUAUUCUUAUUUCUAACUAAAUUACGCCAUUAUCCUUGAUGGAGCAUCCGUUUUUUUGUCUCCCACCUAAAUAACAUGGUAUUUAAUGCUUGUAGUCCGUUCCCGGUUCCGUUCCAGCGUAUACCGACGUGCGACACGUACGGCAGUGCGGGGCACAAACGUUCCUGCUGAAUAGGAACUAACAUCGCCGAUGUCUUUGUCUCUCAGCAAUUGUCAACGCUCGACAUCAUUAUGGAUGCGGUGCUAUUCUUCAUCGUUAUAUCACAGCUGCAGUCGUUGCUCCUCAUUUUUCAACACAGAUCGCCAUCGUAACCUGUCGCGUUCACGAACCAACGCUACGCGUCGAACUCGCCGUACAAAGCUAUGCUCUAAUUGAACAAGCUGUGCCACAGCUUCCCGUGGCGUGCCGUUAUGCAGAGUCGACAGAAAAGGCGACUGUUCAGUAACACCGUAAAUUUAUACACAAAUGAUUCAUUAUGUUUUUAGCGUUGCUCGUUUCGAUCGUGACUCCCGUCUGAUCUCCGACUACUCUGACUAGCAAAGCCAGUGACUAAUUGACGAUGUCCUAAGGCUGUCGAUGGCCUGGCUACCUAGGUGUCAGUUCAUCGUGGAUGACCCAGUCGUGUUGUUGAGCCGCUACAUUACCCCCGAUUGAAAUUUCUGCUGUUAUCCAUGAUCGCAGCUACUGUCAUCACUGCUGCUGCUGUCACUGCAUGCACCGACUGGAGUUAACAUCUGUUAUGCGGUGUGAUUUACCGCUGUUGUGAAAGCUCAGAACGAUUUUUUUAAAUUCAAGCCCCUGCUUUGGCAAGUGGGUUCCGCCGUAGUCGCUUUCAUCAGCGACUAUUCUACUUUAUCACCCCAUUCUGACUGCUCCCACAAAUAAGUAUAAUGGAUAAAACAAACCGCACGAAGUUUGCCGUGAGCUACACGUGGCUUCAGAGUGGGUCCUUACUUUGUUUCAGCCGUGUGGCCAUAUACUGGCCAUACGAAAUCAGUCGCGCCAGCGGAAUAAACAAGACGCGAUUAUCACCACAUGUUUCCGCGGCCAGAGGUAGCACAGCCCUACAGUGAUGUCAGUCGCGAAGUCCCGAGUGUUUUUCUUUUUGCAAAAUUUUUACGCUCUAUUCGCAAAAAUUGACGCGUUUUUCUGUAAGCGGUUAUUAGAAGAAAUUAACUAUAUAUAUAUAUACAACAAUAUGCGAAUAUGUGCUACAGAUUAACAGUAUUACGAAUUAUAUAAUAGUACUAAGGAUGACGUGUACAUUGCUUCAUUCAUGUCUCUACAACAACGAGGAACAAUUUCGGGCCUUUCUGUAUAGUACUCGUCUCAACGCUCUCAGACAGUGUUAUUUAAAUGGGCUCCUUAAGCACAGAGUGCUAUUGAGCACUCGUACACGGGCAACAUAGUACCUUUGACAGCGACAGCGAGUUAUUUGAACGAUUCAAAUAUAUAACCUCAUAAUACUGGCUAGUAGCCGUUGGCUUUUAUGAUCUUUUACGUCGUUCAUCAUUUGUUUACCAUUCGGGAAGACUUUCUCUCCUUUAUAAUGAUCCGAUAUAAUCUCAUUGUGCAGUAAAUGGCCUUACAUGUCAGAUUCACAUGCCAAAGAUGAAGGUUUUACAUGUAAGAAAAAUACAUUGCAGAGAACACGCAAGCAGCACGAGAUAUUCACAUCACGUACGACGAGAACUUCAUGCCUAAGACGACCGCUCGAAACUGAUUUGCAGAGCCCAACUUGGAACUGGAAAAUGCAUCCCAUUCCGUUGGGCCAUCUGACCCAUAACUGACUGAGAACCAUUCACGGAAGGCCUCCUGGGAACAACACGAAUUUACCAGGUUUACUCAAAAAUCAUGAACCUUCCCAUAAACUGAAUGAAGAGGGCAAAGAAGCACGGCCUCCCAUAGCCUCUCACACGCAGUUUCAGUGGCAGAUUUUUACACAAAAUUGCCAUCGGUGAUAAUAGCUAUUAUCUUUGCGUUCAUAAUAGGAGCGACGAAAGUGAGUAGAUCCAGGAGAUAUGUCUGAACUAAGAAAUCAAUGAGAUAAUUAUGCCAAAAUAACCCAAAAACACAAGAUCUAAAAAUUUCGAACAAAACUCUUUGCGAGGUCUCAGCGAGGAAAUAGGUGAUAAAUUAAUUCAUUCCUAGGCUUCGAAAGAAGCCUUAAUUUCUCUUGUAUUCGCCUAUAUUCUAGGCCAAUAUUGAGGAUCAUUUGCCCGGGAACGUAAGAACAAUGUCCGGCUUCCUACGGAAUAGAAGCAUGCGUUCGAAUUUACGUUGCUAUCUGUAUCGCAACGUCAGAAUCCGCAUUUCAAUUGUGACGUCGCUGAGGAGUUGCGUAAACGUCACUGUCUAUAAAUCUCAUCAUGGCUUACGUCAUGCAACAAAUCGCUCCUUUCGGAGUAAAACUGUAAAGUAGCUACUGUUUACUUUCUGAGGUUAUCGCAUUGUAUUCCUUGUCACACAAUUUCAUCUGUAAUCCCACGUGCAGAUAUUGACGUUAAUACGGCAAAUGCUUUUGAACUCUACCCUUUUGUAUAGUUCUUAAGCACUGAAUAAGUAAUUGUGAAGGCGCAUAUUAACGCAGGUAGCCCUAGCACAUUUCCCAUCCGUCUUUGAAGGCUUCCUGCGAAAUCAGGCACGCUGUACCACCCGUUGAAAGGCUUAAAGGCUGAGGUAAAAGUACUCAUCCAGAUAGAUGGUUCAAGCGAACAAAGGGUAUUUCUGCUAAUAUAACCAUUUAAAACACUACACAAAGUAGGAAAAGCUUGAACUUAGUAACUAUGGUACAUAUAUACCAUACGGCCAUUACAAAUGGUGUUAUCAAAGCAAACGUUGCUUUAAUCUAAACGACGAUUAUUUACAUUAUGUAGGGAAAAGCCUAUGCCGUCUAAAAUGAAAGCGUAACUUUAUACGUGGGUCUGUGUGCCACUAGUGGGCUGUUCUGCAAGUUAUAUGGCCAGAUUAAAUUAUACAACAGUGAUUAUAAAAUGUCAUACACAGCUACCUAUCGACACGAACAACGUCUUACCUUGGAACGAUGUAUAGAGAACGCAUAGAAAAAUAUAGUCCACCUAUAAGCCUAGUGUCAUUUAAAUGGCCAAUGAAGUAAGGUUUGCUGGCCUUUCUUUUUCUUAUCGUUGAAUAUAUUGUGGCACGGUUACAGUGAUCUGCCUCCGAGCAUCGUCUUGCAACCAGUUUCUAUCAGCGAGAACCAAGAGAUGCAAGGCACGUACAAUGCGUUCUGACAAUUCUGUUUUUCAGCCUCGCUGCUACCUCUACUGGUUCUACGGGAAAACCUAGCAUACCGCUAUCCCUUUGAUCAGGUAUUCAUCGGGUUAGGCGGGCAGAGUUCUCCAAGCUAGCCAGUUGCUAGGGUAUAUUGGCUUCGUCUAUCUAAAAGGGUUUCUGUGCUCGCAUAUCGUGCGGAUCUUUCUAUUUGAGGUUGUAUCUCCGUAGGGCAUCGUACGAAAACGUGGCAGUAACGGCAUUGUAUUGAAGCGCAAACGCACGAUGCUUAACAAAGAGUGCUAAAUGUGUAACGGUGAUGAUAACUGCUGUGCCUGGAAGUACUAAUCAUAACAGUCUUGUCUUCGGGUGUUGCACUUAUCGUUAUGCCACCUAGAGCCAAUUCUAGUUGGGCCGUCUCUUCGACUAAAUUUUCACCCUGCUGCCCAAGCAAAACUACUUCAAAGGAACGAAGUGAAAAGAAUAUUUCAACCGGAUACGUCCCGCCAGCACGACCCGCCCAAGGUAUAUACUGGGGCCUAGAAUUAGUCGCAAUAAUAGCCGCCACCGAUAAAGACACAAACAUCGUAUUCACAAUAUAGAAAGUAAAAUUAUACAGUAAAACCGUCUAUUACAGUGCUGGUUGACGUGUUCGGUCGCCUAGGUUCGGCCAGCCAGCCAGCCAGCCAGCCAGCCAGCCUGAUAGUGAUGUCCAUUAGAAUCGCUUUCGAGUUAAGGCAGGUUCACUGACCACAAUUAACGCCACAGUUGACCUAUGGGCUACGGCCUCGUGGACGCCAGCAAGUGGGUGAAAUGAUGGCAGAUUAGUCUGUUUGGUCUGCCGUAUUCGUCCGUGCCGUCUUCAGGGGGGUCACGAGGUUAGCGUGAGUUACAUGGCCUGGGCACAGCUUUUGUCGAGACGCCGCUUAGAGAAUGCGUACACCCUAACACUACACGCUUGGGAACCACGAAGAAACGUCGGCCGGUUCUGUAUCGUUGUUUAUAGAAUACGAAGCUGGCGAGUUCGGCCAAUGUUAGGCGAAUGAGUUCAACGCGGUGGUCGCAGGGUCAGUGUUUGCAAGAAAAAGGAUAUCAAAGGAGGCGUAACGUGAUGAGAUCUGGCUCGACUGGUCACCGCUAUUAGCUGACUGAGUUAACCUACCGACUAUCAAUUUCCAUUGGGCGAUUGAGGUGGUUACUGUUUUUUGGUAACACUUUAGGUCACAGCCUGACAGCUGGCGGCUCAACCUGACCUGUACAUUAAUCAUGUAAAGAAGUCAACCUGAAAGGAAAGUCGGUGUACUGAUAGAGCCGCUGUGAACCGCAACCGACUACCAUCUAUUUACCUAUACGUUUAUAAUGUAUGAAAAGUACGGCCGUUAUUACUGGUCAUAUGAUUGCGCCGCCCCGGGCCAAAACAAACGCGGUUCUAUGAGCAAAGUCAUUUAGCUAUAAUGAAAUUUUCCUGCGCUCACUGCGAUUGUAUAGAAUAUCCAUUUGUUUGACAUGGUGAGUGCGCUUCGUAGGGAGCGCCUGGAACCUAUUGGUCUCUCCCAUUUUACUGCAACGAGUUCUGGAACAGGAAAUUAACUAGCGCAUGACAACGUUCUCGGCGUGCGCUGUGGUGAACGUCCCAGUAGUUGCAGAAUAAUCUCGUGGGUCGGCGAUUCCAUACUAAGGUUCUUUGAUUCUAUUUAGAAACUUCGACGCCGACCCACUAAUGAGUCCAUUGUUUAGAAGAGCGCAUCGUUUUCAGUGAAGACAGAGUUUAUAGGUGAAGAACGCUUCACGAAUACGCUUCUCAGACACGUGAGCGUGACGGGCUCGUCAGCAAUUCGUGAAUAACUGAACGCCGCAUCAAGCUUGGCACGACCAGCAACUGUGACGCUUUUUAGCCGUUGUUGUCAGCAGUCUUUCCGCGCUUCUGUGGGAAAGCCUUUUCUUCUGUACGUGCACAUUGCAUACAUACCGACACUAUGACGUAUAAAAGCUACCUAACGUACCAAGAAAGAACCCGCCUCAUUGUAGUCGGCUUCGCCUAAACCUGCGCCCAAAUGCGACACGCUUCUUUCGGUUAUUGUUGUUGUGACCCUGUCUUCAGUAUCUACGUUCACUUGGUACAUGUAGGAAGGCGCAAAGAUUACAGCAAGUAUUACAGUGUAUGUGUCGUGCAGUCCGUUGGCUGUAGGCGCGGCUGACGCACAAGAGGCGCCCAUAUGCAGCAACCCUCAGAACAAGCAGGGGGAGCAACACCUAUUGGUAGAAGCUAUUAAUCCCAAGUCUGCGCCCACAUUCUCGGCCAACAGGAUCAGACCGGAGGAGACAGCAACGAUAUUCACAGAAUUGGACCUAGCUUGCUCCAACCGCUAUUCAGCGAACCCCGAAAUAACUUGCAACGAUAGACCAGCUUCCGUCCAGUUAAUACGCGCCACGUUAGCGGGCGGCAUCGUCUUUUGUGUGUACGCGCGUCACAAACCAAAAAAACCCUAUAUAUUUCCACACGUGAAAGGAACACUAAAACACAGCUGGAAACUGGCGUACUUUUUCUAUUGCACCAAAAGUAUCAUCACCAUCGUCGUCGUCGACAACAAAAAUAAAACUUCAUCAUUACACUAAUUAACGGUAGUAGCAGCGCCGCCAUCGGCCGCAGGGAGGCCAUGCUUGCCCGUAUGUUCGCGUUCUAGUUUCCAUUAAAAAAAAGGAAUACCUAAAAACGCGAGCACGGAAAUGGUGAUUAUGACUGCCGUAACAGCAAUUGCGGCGAGCGACGGAUGGAACAGCACGAGCCCGGUACCUCAAGACGCAUGGAAAAUGGAUCUUAACAGGUGGUUAUACUCCAUACAGAGCUGCUGAACGUAAUCAGCGUUCUUGCUGUUGUUAUUAUAACUGUUUGAAGCUGCAGGAGAAAAGCGUAAAAAGACAAAAUUUCCAUCCUCAAAAAAAAGAUCACGUUUAGUUUAAGGCGAGCAGUACACGGAGCUGUACAGAUGCACUUGAGGAGCUCGUGCGAAGGCAAUUACAGGGAGAUUAAAAUCUAGAUACCGUUUCAUUCGCCGUGGAAAAGUAAUGAAGACUAUAUGGGUUCCGUAUAACAUCAACCAUGAAUGUCUCCUGGAUUGAAAUGCUCUAAUAAAUUAUAACAACGGAGGAGGACCACCUGUAUGGAAACCUUCGAUUUGAAAUAUCGUUUCAACAGUCUAUACGAGGUAAUUCAAACUAUGGGAUAUGGCCUAUCAGUUCCUACAAAGUUAUUGAAAUCUAACUAGAAGAAAUUAAAAAUCUGUUAAUAACUCAAAUUUACGAUGGUACUUAUAAAGCUCAAUGGACUUCAAAAAAAUUGCUAUCAGUCAAUUAAAUGUCUUUAUUACCAUUUUGUUAAUUGUGCUGGGGAAACCGCGGCGUGAAGCAAAGUGGCCAUGACAACUUCGUUUCUAAUAUUAAUGUUUAAAAAUUGCCUAAUUUUUGUCAUGAAAAUAUGAAUACUGCUAAGCCUGAAGCAAGGUAAACCAGAUUAACUGGUCUAAAAGUAAAAACCUGUCUGCCGGAGACGUACGAUAUAUUUCAGUGGGUACGAAUUGACUCUUAAAGUGACGACUCGUUUUAAACAUCUACUGAUUGUAAGAACGACAAUUAGUAUGAUGACAACCGUGGCCUACGGUUCGAUGGGCAGUUAGAUUUUUCAUCUUGAGACAACCCAUCUGAUGGCGUAAAUAUUUAGCGAACGAAGCCUUCGAGGCGCAUACAUCUGGUUCUCCAAAUCGAUAGAGGCCUAACGGCGGGUGAUCUCAGCAACGGCAUUUGCAGCGGACGCAUCAUGGCCUGAACGACCAACUGAAUCCGCAGAAAGUUGA
Long non-coding RNA from Varroa destructor (honeybee mite), 7680 nucleotides. NCBI's taxonomy places the organism in Eukaryota, Metazoa, Arthropoda, Arachnida, Mesostigmata, Varroidae. The record is from RefSeq and is a predicted model, not a curated record.